Molecule: ribosomal RNA, 441 nt
Filed under: uncultured bacterium
Lineage: Bacteria
Description: partial 16S ribosomal RNA
Rfam family: Bacterial small subunit ribosomal RNA
Source: RNAcentral
CCUACGGGAGGCAGCAGUGGGGGAUAUUGCACAAUGGGGGAAACCCUGAUGCAGCGACGCCGCGUGGGUGAAGAAGUAUUUCGGUAUGUAAAGCCCUAUCAGCAGGGAAGAAAGAAGACGGUACCUGACUAAGAAGCCCCGGCUAACUACGUGCCAGCAGCCGCGGUAAUACGUAGGGGGCGAGCGUUAUCCGGAUUCACUGGGUGUAAAGGGAGCGUAGACGGCCGUGCAAGCCAGGAGUGAAAGCCCGGGGCCCAACCCCGGGACUGCUCUUGGAACUGUGCGGCUGGAGUGCGGGAGGGGCAGGCGGAAUUCCUGGUGUAGCGGUGAAAUGCGUAGAUAUCAGGAGGAACACCGGUGGCGAAGGCGGCCUGCUGGACUGUGACUGACGUUGAGGCCCGAAGGCGUGGGGAGCAAACAGGAUUAGAUACCCUAGUAGUC